ACAGGAAACAUUAAGAGACUCACAGGCAUGGUAGGUUUAGAUGAAUAAAAGGAUUUAUCUGGUAAACAGGCAUUUGGUUCGGUACACAGGAAGUCAG
This is a long non-coding RNA of Thalassophryne amazonica, 97 nucleotides long. RefSeq lists it as uncharacterized. The transcript is spliced from 3 exons. NCBI's taxonomy places the organism in Eukaryota, Metazoa, Chordata, Actinopteri, Batrachoidiformes, Batrachoididae. The record is from RefSeq and is a predicted model, not a curated record.